CCCGCACAAGCGGUGGAGCAUGUGGUUUAAUUCGAUGCAACGCGAAAACCUUACCCACCUUUGACAUGUACGGAAUCCUCUAGAGAUAGAGGAGUGCUCGAAAGAGAGCCGGAACACAGGUGCUGCAUGGCUGUCGUCAGCUCGUGUCGUGAGAUGUUGGGUUAAGUCCCGCAACGAGCGCAACCCUUAUCCUUUGUUGCCAGCGGUCCGGCCGGGAACUCAAAGGAGACUGCCAGUGAUAAACUGGAGGAAGGUGGGAUGACGUCAAGUCAUCAUGGCCCUUACGACCAGGGCUACACACGUGCUACAAUGGCGCAUACAAAGAGAAGCGACCUCGCGAGAGCAAGCGGACCUCAUAAAGUGCGUCGUAGUCCGGAUUGGAGUCUGCAACUCGACUCCAUGAAGUCGGAAUCGCUAGUAAUCGUGGAUCAGAAUGCCACGGUCGAAUACGUUCCGGGCCUU
This 462-nucleotide ribosomal RNA is filed under the name uncultured Enterobacteriaceae bacterium. RNAcentral's name for it is "bacterial SSU rRNA". It matches the Rfam family "Bacterial small subunit ribosomal RNA", at positions 920 to 1382 of the family's 1533-position model. Lineage: Bacteria; Pseudomonadati; Pseudomonadota; Gammaproteobacteria; Enterobacterales; Enterobacteriaceae. The record is from RNAcentral.